Molecule: ribosomal RNA, 460 nt
Filed under: uncultured bacterium
Lineage: Bacteria
Description: partial 16S ribosomal RNA
Rfam family: Bacterial small subunit ribosomal RNA
Source: RNAcentral
CCUACGGGAGGCAGCAGUGAGGAAUAUUGGUCAAUGGGCGGGAGCCUGAACCAGCCAAGUCGCGUGAGGGAAGACGGUCCUAUGGAUUGUAAACCUCUUUAGGCGGGGAGCAAUGCCGGGCACGCGUGCCCGGAGGGAGAGUACCCGCAGAAUAAGCAUCGGCUAACUCAGUGCCAGCAGCCGCGGUAAUACGGAGGAUGCGAGCGUUAUCCGGAUUGAUUGGGUUUAAAGGGUGCGUAGGCGGAUUUUUAAGUCAGCGGUAAAAUGUCCGGGCUCAACCCGGGCCGGCCGUUGAAACUGGGGAUCUUGAGUGGGCGAGAAGUAUGCGGAAUGCGUGGUGUAGCGGUGAAAUGCAUAGAUAUCACGCAGAACUCCGAUUGCGAAGGCAGCAUACCGGCGCCCGACUGACGCUGUGGCACGAAAGCGUGGGGAUCGAACAGGAUUAGAUACCCGGGUAGUC